GAUGAAGAACGUAGUAAAAUGCGAUAAGUAAUGUGAAUUGCAGAAUUCAGUGAAUCAUCGAAUCUUUGAACGCACAUUGCGCCCGCCAGUAUUCUGGCGGGCAUGCCUGUUCGAGCGUCAUUUCAACCCUCAAGCACAGCUUGGUGUUGGGACUCGCGUUAAUUCGCGUUCCCCAAAUUGAUUGGCGGUCACGUCGAGCUUCCAUAGCGUAGUAGUAAAACCCUCGUUACUGGUAAUCGUCGCGGCCACGCCGUUAAACCCCAACUUCUGAAUGUUGACCUCGGAUCAGGUAGGAAUACCCGCUGAACUUAAGCAUAUCAAUAAGCGGAGA
RNAcentral lists this unclassified non-coding RNA (331 nucleotides) under soil metagenome. RNAcentral's name for it is "partial contains 5.8S ribosomal RNA, internal transcribed spacer 2, and large subunit ribosomal RNA". The stretch from base 1 to 120 matches the Rfam family "5.8S ribosomal RNA", at positions 35 to 154 of the family's 154-position model. The record is from RNAcentral.